Molecule: ribosomal RNA, 498 nt
Filed under: uncultured bacterium
Lineage: Bacteria
Description: partial 16S ribosomal RNA
Rfam family: Bacterial small subunit ribosomal RNA
Source: RNAcentral
GACGAACGCUGGCGGCGUGCCUAAUACAUGCAAGUCGAACGAGCGCUACCGGUGCUUGCUCUGGUCAAUCUAGUGGCGAACGGGUGAGUAACACGUGGGUAACCUGCCCAUCAGAGGGGGAUAACAUCCGGAAACGGAUGCUAAAACCGCAUAGGUCUUCGCACCGCAUGGUUUGAAGAGGAAAAGCGGCGCAAGCUUCUGCUUAUGGAUGGACCCGCGGUGCAUUAGCUAGUUGGUGAGGUAACGGCUCACCAAGGCAGUGAUGCAUAGCCGACCUGGGGGGGGGAUGGCCAAAAUGGGGACUGAGACACGGCCAGACCUCCUACGGGAGGCAGCAGUAGGGAAUCUUCCGCAAAGGACGAAAGUCGGACGGAGCAACGCCGGGUGAGUGAGGAAGGUUUUCGGAUCGUAAAACUCUGUUGUUAGGGAAGAACAAGUGCGAGAGUAAAUGUUAGCGCCUUGACGGUAUCUAACCAGAAAGCCACGGCUAACUACGUG